Nocardia otitidiscaviarum NBRC 14405 is the source of this 46-nucleotide non-coding RNA. NCBI's taxonomy places the organism in Bacteria, Bacillati, Actinomycetota, Actinomycetes, Mycobacteriales, Nocardiaceae. The record is from Rfam.
UCGGUUCCGGUUCACGUCCUCGGUCGUCGAGGGCGACCCGGCGACC